This 519-nucleotide ribosomal RNA is filed under the name uncultured eukaryote. RNAcentral's name for it is "SSU rRNA". It matches the Rfam family "Eukaryotic small subunit ribosomal RNA", at positions 1161 to 1699 of the family's 1831-position model. The record is from RNAcentral.
AGGGCACCACAAGGAGUGGAGCCUGCGGCUUAAUUUGACUCAACACGGGAAAACUCACCCGGCCCGGACACUGGAAGGAUUGACAGAUUGAGAGCUCUUUCUUGAUUCAGUGGGUGGUGGUGCAUGGCCGUUCUUAGUUGGUGGAGUGAUUUGUCUGGUUAAUUCCGAUAACGAACGAGACUCUAGCCUACUAAAUAGAUCGUCGGCUUACAAACGCCGGCGAGACUUCUUAGAGGGACAGGCGGUGAUUCAACCGCACGAAACAGAGCAAUAACAGGUCUGUGAUGCCCUUAGAUGUCCGGGGCCGCACGCGCGCUACACUGAAGUGAUCAGCGUGCUUUUUCAACCUACUCUGUCAAGAGUGGGGAACCCAAUGAACCUUCUUCGUGAUUGGGAUAGGGGAUUGUAAUUGUUCCCCUUGAACGAGGAAUUCCCAGUAAGCGCGAGUCAUAAGCUCGCGUUGAUUACGUCCCUGCCCUUUGUACACACCGCCCGUCGCUACUACCGAUUGAAUGUUUU